AGAGCGAACGCUGGCGGCAGGCCUAACACAUGCAAGUCGAGCGCCCCGCAAGGGGGAGCGGCAGACGGGAGAGUAACACGUGGGAACGUACCCUUUGGUUCGGAACAACACAGGGAAACUUGUGCUAAUACCGGAUAAGCCCUUACGGGGAAAGAUUUAUUGCCAAAGGAUCGGCCCGCGUCUGAUUAGCUUGUUGGUGAGGUAACGGCUCACCAAGGCUACGAUCAGUAGCUGGUCUGAGAGGAUGAUCAGCCUCACUGGGACUGAGACACGGCCCAGACUCCUACGGGAGGCAGCAGUGGGGAAUAUUGGACAAUGGGCGCAAGCCUGAUCCAGCCAUGCCGCGUGGAUGAUGAAGGCCCUAGGGUUGUAAAGUCCUUUCGACGGGGAAGAUAAUGACGGUACCCGUAGAAGAAGCCCCGGCUAACUUCGUGCCAGCAGCCGC
RNAcentral lists this ribosomal RNA (445 nucleotides) under uncultured bacterium. Its description in RNAcentral is "SSU rRNA". It matches the Rfam family "Bacterial small subunit ribosomal RNA", at positions 26 to 518 of the family's 1533-position model. The record is from RNAcentral.